RNAcentral lists this ribosomal RNA (429 nucleotides) under Bacillota bacterium. Its description in RNAcentral is "Firmicutes bacterium partial 16S ribosomal RNA". It matches the Rfam family "Bacterial small subunit ribosomal RNA", at positions 355 to 776 of the family's 1533-position model. The record is from RNAcentral. Lineage: Bacteria; Bacillati; Bacillota.
UGGGGAAUCUUGCGCUAAUGCGGGAAACCGUGACGCAGCGACGCCGCGUGGGGGAAGAAGGCCUUCGGGUUGUAAACCUCUUUCAGGAGGGACGAAGCUACUCGGGUUAAUAGCCCAGAGGGUGACGGUACCUCCAGAAGAAGCCCCGGCUAACUACGUGCCAGCAGCCGCGGUAAUACGUAGGGGGCAAGCGUUGUCCGGAUUUAUUGGGCGUAAAGAGCGUGUAGGCGGCUAGGUAGGUCCGUUGUGAAAACUCGAGGCUCAACCUCGAGCUGUCGAUGGAAACCAUCUGGCUAGAGUCCGGAAGAGGAGAGUGGAAUUCCUGGUGUAGCGGUGAAAUGCGCAGAUAUCAGGAAGAACACCCGUGGCGAAGGCGGCUCUCUGGUACGUGACUGACGCUGAGACGCGAAAGCGUGGGGAGCGAACAGG